CAUAGGACAGGUCUGUGGUUGCAAGUCGAAGCCAGUCGCAGGCAAAACGAUCCACUUAAGGUAUCAAAAGGAUACUGAGCAUGGUGCGGCUUAGAAGUAAGACCUGCCGAUAUAAAAUCGAGAGGAUUAGUAGUGAGAGGUAUAUGACCGCAUAGCGAACGUUCCAGCAGGCGAGUGUGGGGGAAAAGACCAGGUCAGCUGUGUGUG
Regulatory RNA element from Dialister sp. CAG:588, 207 nucleotides. It matches the Rfam family "raiA RNA". NCBI's taxonomy places the organism in Bacteria, Bacillati, Bacillota, Negativicutes, Veillonellales, Veillonellaceae. The record is from Rfam.